Molecule: ribosomal RNA, 443 nt
Filed under: uncultured bacterium
Lineage: Bacteria
Description: partial 16S ribosomal RNA
Rfam family: Bacterial small subunit ribosomal RNA
Source: RNAcentral
CCUACGGGCGGCAGCAGUGGGGGAUAUUGGACAAUGGGGGAAACCCUGAUCCAGCGACGCCGCGUGAGUGAAGAAGUACUUCGGUAUGUAAAGCUCUAUCAGCAGGGAAGAAAGAAAUGACGGUACCUGAGUAAGAAGCUCCGGCUAACUACGUGCCAGCCGCCGCGGUAAUCCGUAGGGGGCAAGCGUUAUCCGGAAUUACUGGGUGUAAAGGGCGCGUAGACGGUAAUGCAAGUCUGGAGUGAAAGGCGGGGGCCCAACCCACGGACUGCUCUGGAAACUGUGUAACUGGAGUGCAGGAGAGGCAGGCGGAAUUCCUAGUGUAGCGGUGAAAUGCGUAGAUAUCAGGAGGAACACCAGUGGCGAAGGCGGCCUGCUGGACUGUAACUGACGUUGAGGCUCGAAAGCGUGGGUAGCAAACAGGAUUAGAUACCCCAGUAGUC